GAAUUCAGACAAACUCCGAAUGCCAAUUAAUUUAACUUGGGAGUCAGAACAUGGGUGAUAAGGUCCGUGUUCGAAAGGGAAACAGCCCAGACCACCAGCUAAGGUCCCAAAAUAUAUGUUAAGUGGAAAAGGAUGUGGCGUUGCCCAGACAACUAGGAUGUUGGCUUAGAAGCAGCCAUCAUUUAAAGAGUGCGUAAUAGCUCACUAGUCGAGUGACACUGCGCCGAAAAUGUACCGGGGCUAAACAUAUUACCGAAGCUGUGGAUUGUCCUUUGGACAAUGGUAGGAGAGCGUU
This 295-nucleotide ribosomal RNA is filed under the name Staphylococcus aureus. Its description in RNAcentral is "partial 23S ribosomal RNA". It matches the Rfam family "Bacterial large subunit ribosomal RNA", at positions 941 to 1240 of the family's 2925-position model. The record is from RNAcentral. Lineage: Bacteria; Bacillati; Bacillota; Bacilli; Caryophanales; Staphylococcaceae.